GAUGAGCAAGCCACUGUGGAUCCUGAGGUUCAGCAGGUAUAGCUGAGCAGGAGCUCAUUGAAGGCAAGUUGUGCCCUUGAUCACUUACUUUUUCCUAGCCAUGUUCUUAUUACUUAUAAUGAUCUGCAUAGGGUAAUUUUGAUGGGAUUCAAUAGGUUACCCCAGUUUUGGCUAUCUUUAUACCUUGUUGCCACUGAAUAUUUUUGGGUAGUACUUGCUAUUGCUUAUUGUGGUUUUGGGUAUGGAGAUACACUAUUCAUGAUUUCAUCUUUAUUAUCUGUUUAUUAUUAUUGUUCAUGUUAAGAUCUGUUGGGGGCCUUCGUCUUCCGAAGGUCCUCAAAAACAUGAUUUAACAAUGUUUCCGGAGUUGUAAUACAUGAACAGGUACCUUCGAAUUCGAAUCAGAACCACAGUAGGAGAAGCACAAAUGAUACGAAGGUUGAUGCAGCGCCGAAGCUAGCGCAAGGGAGCUUCGACAUGACAGCAGGAAAGGAAACCGACUUAAAAGGGAAAAGGCUAUUUAGACCUCGAUGGAUCAUUAUAGGGUCAUUAGCAAAUAUAAAGAACAGUGCUCCCGUACUGUUCACGCUGACUUGGCAUUUGCUUUUGCAUCACGCUUGUACCUUUGCUGUCUAUCAAGUCGAAGGUAUCAAAUGUAAUUCAGUACUGUUUUAUUUCUCCAUGAUAAUAUAAUGAAGAUGAGUUGAUAAUGUUACAC
This 718-nucleotide long non-coding RNA is filed under the name Zea mays. RNAcentral's name for it is "long non-coding RNA (ZMAY_LNC004820)". The record is from RNAcentral. Lineage: Eukaryota; Viridiplantae; Streptophyta; Magnoliopsida; Poales; Poaceae.